GAUAUCGAGAUUCUCGUGUCCACCGACGAUGACAGCAGCGAAGGGAAAGAGCCAGCUAAGAAA
RNAcentral lists this small RNA (63 nucleotides) under Caenorhabditis elegans. Its description in RNAcentral is "Unclassified non-coding RNA T23B12.14". The record is from RNAcentral. Lineage: Eukaryota; Metazoa; Nematoda; Chromadorea; Rhabditida; Rhabditidae.